RNAcentral lists this ribosomal RNA (356 nucleotides) under uncultured bacterium. RNAcentral describes it as "bacterial SSU rRNA". It matches the Rfam family "Bacterial small subunit ribosomal RNA", at positions 8 to 350 of the family's 1533-position model. The record is from RNAcentral.
AGAGUUUGAUCCUGGCUCAGGAUGAACGCUAGCUACAGGCUUAACACAUGCAAGUCGAGGGGAAACGAUAUUGGAAGCUUGCUUCCGAUAGGCGUCGGCCGGCGCACGGGUGAGUAACGCGUAUCCAACCUGCCCACCACUUGGGGAUAACCUUGCGAAAGUAAGACUAAUACCCAAUGAUAUCUCUAGAAGACAUCUGAAAAGAGAUUAAAAGAUUUAAUCGGUGAUGGAUGGGGAUGCGUCUGAUUAGCUUGUUGGCGGGGUAACGGCCACCAAGGCGACGAUCAGUAGGGGUUCUGAGAGGAAGGUCCCCCANACUUGGAACUGAGACACGGUCCAAACUCCUACGGGAGGCA